RNAcentral lists this ribosomal RNA (497 nucleotides) under uncultured bacterium. Its description in RNAcentral is "partial 16S ribosomal RNA". It matches the Rfam family "Bacterial small subunit ribosomal RNA", at positions 28 to 507 of the family's 1533-position model. The record is from RNAcentral.
GAUGAACGCUGGCGGCGUGCCUAAUACAUGCAAGUCGAGCGAACAGACGAGGAGCUUGCUCCUCUGACGUUAGCGGCGGACGGGUGAGUAACACGUGGAUAACCUACCUAUAAGACUGGGAUAACUUCGGGAAACCGGAGCUAAUACCGGAUAAUAUAUUGAACCGCAUGGUUCAAUAGUGAAAGACGGUUUUGCUGUCACUUAUAGAUGGAUCCGCGCCGCAUUAGCUAGUUGGUAAGGUAACGGCUUACCAAGGCAACGAUGCGUAGCCGACCUGAGAGGGUGAUCGGCCACACUGGAACUGAGACACGGUCCAGACUCCUACGGGAGGCAGCAGUAGGGAAUCUUCCGCAAUGGGCGAAAGCCUGACGGGGCAACGCCGCGUGAGUGAUGAAGGUCUUCGGAUCGUAAAACUCUGUUAUUAGGGAAGAACAAUUGUGUAAGUAACUAUGCACGUCUUGACGGUACCUAAUCAGAAAGCCACGGCUAACUACGUG